Molecule: ribosomal RNA, 699 nt
Filed under: uncultured bacterium
Lineage: Bacteria
Description: bacterial SSU rRNA
Rfam family: Bacterial small subunit ribosomal RNA
Source: RNAcentral
GAUGGGCACUAGGCGUCGGGGGGAACGACCCCUUCGGUGCCGUCGCUAACGCAAUAAGUGCCCCGCCUGGGGAGUACGGCCGCAAGGCUGAAACUCAAAGGAAUUGACGGGGGCCCGCACAAGCGGUGGAGCAUGUGGUUUAAUUCGAUGCAACGCGAAGAACCUUACCUGGGCUUGACAUGUACGUGAAAUCCCGUGGAAACACGGGCCCCUCUUCGGAGCUCGUACACAGGUGCUGCAUGGCUGUCGUCAGCUCGUGUCGUGAGAUGUUGGGUUAAGUCCCGCAACGAGCGCAACCCUCGCUCCCAGUUGCCAGCGGUUCGGCCGGGGACUCUGGGGGGACUGCCGGUGUCAAACCGGAGGAAGGUGGGGAUGACGUCAAGUCAGCAUGGCCCUUACGUCCAGGGCUACACACGUGCUACAAUGGCCGGUACAGCGCGCUGCGAACUCGCGAGGGUAAGCCAAUCGCUAAAAGCCGGUCUAAGUUCGGAUUGCAGUCUGUAACUCGACUGCAUGAAGUCGGAAUCGCUAGUAAUCGCGGAUCAGCUACGCUGCGGUGAAUACGUUCCCGGGCCUUGUACACACCGCCCGUCACGCCAUGGAAGCUGGGGGGACCCGAAGCCAGUGGGCUAACCGCAAGGAGGCAGCUGUCUAAGGUCAAAUCAGUGACUGGGGCGAAGUCGUAACAAGGUAACCGUA